RNAcentral lists this ribosomal RNA (930 nucleotides) under Cortinarius stenophryx. RNAcentral describes it as "partial large subunit ribosomal RNA". It matches the Rfam family "Eukaryotic large subunit ribosomal RNA", at positions 39 to 954 of the family's 3401-position model. Lineage: Eukaryota; Fungi; Basidiomycota; Agaricomycetes; Agaricales; Cortinariaceae. The record is from RNAcentral.
CAUAUCAAUAAGCGGAGGAAAAGAAACUAACAAGGAUUCCCCCUAGUAACUGCGAGUGAAGCGGGAAAAGCUCAAAUUUAAAAUCUGGCAGUCUUUGAUUGUCCGAGUUGUAAUCUAGAGAAGUGCUAUCCGCGCUGGACCGUGUACAAGUCUCCUGGAAUGGAGCGUCAUAGAGGGUGAGAAUCCCGUCUUUGACACGGACUACCAGGGCUUUGUGAUGUGCUCUCAAAGAGUCGAGUUGUUUGGGAAUGCAGCUCAAAAUGGGUGGUAAAUUCCAUCUAAAGCUAAAUAUUGGCGAGAGACCGAUAGCGAACAAGUACCGUGAGGGAAAGAUGAAAAGAACUUUGGAAAGAGAGUUAAACAGUACGUGAAAUUGCUGAAAGGGAAACGCUUGAAGUCAGUCGCGUUGUCCAGGGAUCAACCUUGCUUUUGCUUGGUGCACUUUCUGGUUGACGGGUCAGCAUCAAUUUUGACUAUUGGAAAAAGAUUAGGGGAAUGUGGCAUCUUUGGAUGUGUUAUAGCCCUUGGUUGUAUACAAUAGUUGGGAUUGAGGAACUCAGCACGCCGCAAGGCCAGGUUUUUAACCAUGUACGUGCUUAGGAUGCUGGCAUAAUGGCUUUAAUCGACCCGUCUUGAAACACGGACCAAGGAGUCUAACAUGUCUGCGAGUGUUUGGGUGGAAAACCCGAGCGCGUAAUGAAAGUGAAAGUUGAGAUCCCUGUCGUGGGGAGCAUCGACGCCCGGACCAGACCUUUUGUGACGGUUCCGCGGUAGAGCAUGUAUGUUGGGACCCGAAAGAUGGUGAACUAUGCCUGAAUAGGGUGAAGCCAGAGGAAACUCUGGUGGAGGCUCGUAGCGAUUCUGACGUGCAAAUCGAUCGUCAAAUUUGGGUAUAGGGGCGAAAGACUAAUCGAACCAUCUAGUAGCUGG